RNAcentral lists this ribosomal RNA (254 nucleotides) under uncultured bacterium. RNAcentral's name for it is "partial 16S ribosomal RNA". It matches the Rfam family "Bacterial small subunit ribosomal RNA", at positions 524 to 776 of the family's 1533-position model. The record is from RNAcentral.
UACAGAGGGUGCGAGCGUUGUUCGGAAUUACUGGGCGUAAAGCGCGCGCAGGCGGCCUUUUAAGUCUCGUGGUGAAAUGCCGGGGCUCAACCCCGUGCCCGCCGGAGAUACUGGGAGGCUGGAGACAUGUAGAGGCAAGCGGAAUUCCGGGUGUAGCGGUGGAAUGCGUAGAGAUCCGGAGGAACACCGGUGGCGAAGGCGGUUCUCUGGGCAUGUCCUGACGCUGAGGAGCGAAAGUGUGGGGAGCGAACAGG